AGUAACGCCAAAUGACAGGUGACAAAUCCCAUAUUCCUGUAGACAGUUGUAGAACCUUGUACCUGUGAAAAAAGAAAUAGAAUCGAGUCUAGCAAAAGAGUUUAGCUGAUUCCAAAUUAUCUGAAGGUAAGGACGUAGAUAUUUUGAAGGCAUGUGUAUUCCAAUCGUUGCCACAGUGACUCCAUGGUAAGGGAUCUUGGAAAGCAUAUACUAUAAACUGCAGAAUCCAACAACGGAAUAUAGUUGCGGAAAUCACGUAGACACCACAGGCCAGGUUUAUUGUGAUACCAACACCUAAAGCAAAACGCAGACACGCAAAGUAACGUCAACGUGAAUAAAACGUCUUUAGGAAUUCUAUAACAUUUUUUGGCGAAUGCUUAUAUUUUGUAAACGGGUUACUUAAACAAAACAAGGACACAGUCUAGCAGGAAGAUCCUCUUUCAGAGAAAGUAGUCACUCAUACAGCACAUCCAUAUGACCAAAGGGUAACGUGCAGCAACACACAAAUGUUCCAGACAGACACAAACGUAUAUAUGAAAACGGAAGACAAAAGGGUAGCGCAAUGGUGUUUGGUGUUUGUUGGUGCCGUAAGACGAUUUAAUGAAUGAGUAAUAUAUAUGUGAAUAUAAACGGUUACCAUAGGUUCUAAGUUAAAGUUUUCAGGCGUGUUGCAUAUUUUAUAAUCUCUCAUGAUUUUUUGUUUUGUUUUGUUUUGGGUUUAACGCCGUUUUUCAACAGUAUUUCAGUCAUGUAACGGCGGGCAGUUAACCUAACCAGUGUUCCUGGAUUCUGUACCAGUACAAACCUGUUCUCCGCAAGUAACUGCUAACUUCCCCACUUGAAACAGAGGUGGAGAACUAAUGAUUUCAGACACAAUGUCGUUUAUCAAAUAGCCACGGAGAACAUACGCCCUGCCCGAGGAUCGAACUCGCGACCCCACGAUCCGUAGACCGACGCUCUACCUACUGAGCUAAGCGGGCAUGAAGACUCAAUCAAACCAGGUCUGCUACUUUUCCGCUUGCAGGUGUAUAAGCUGAUAUUGAUACAAAUCCAACUGUCAAAUGCACACAAAAUAUCACUUUGACAUUUUAAUAUAACCGAUAUAAAAUCUUUCGCGAUAAGAAUGCGGUUUUAAUAAAUUCAUACUUGUCGCAUAUGAUAACAUCUAUGAAGUCGUUAAAGUUGAAAUAAGAAAAAAUAUGGAGAUAUAUUACAUUUUGAAAACAGAUUAAUUUCAGGUUGAAAACUGGAUAUAACCGACUUGCACAUUAUGGUCCCACAGUAUAUGAUACAGUAAGAUACAGUGAUUAUUUGUAAAUGUUUUGUCAAUUUUUAGGUAUUUGUAUUUUACUAUAAAUAAUAUAUAUAUAAUUUUUUA
Molecule: long non-coding RNA, 1378 nt
Organism: Mercenaria mercenaria
Lineage: Eukaryota; Metazoa; Mollusca; Bivalvia; Venerida; Veneridae
Exons: 3
Source: RefSeq, a predicted model, not a curated record